AAAGACAUUAAAUCUCUCAAGAUCUGAUUAAAAGAUCUGAUUUACUUAUUACUAACCAGAUUUACUUUAUUUCUGUCACACAUAUAAAUAAGUUCUUAUUGAGAAUUAACAGAGGUUUAGAUGUUGGUGUUUUAUUGGUCAAAAUUAUGCCACCAUCAUGGUGGUCAGGGCUUGCUUUAGUUGGGCUCUUGACCUUUUCAUGUCUUUAAAACAUUUUGUGUUUGAGCAAUUGCAAUAGUGUUUCACAAGAAACACUUAUGCAUUGCUGAAUCAACAGACUGAAGGAGCAGAUCAGCUUGAAAUUUACUGAAAGCCAUUUCAAAUAAAUGUAACAGGGUGGUAUUAGAAAAUAAACCAAAAAAAGAUGUACUUCCCCUUUAAGAGAGCGGCAGCUGAUGAGGACGCGCGAAGUGCGCGAUAUUGAGACAGACGGCUGAGUAGUGCAUGAGACCAAUCUAAUCUUUUAUCAUCCUGGAGAAAAUCCAUGAUUUGUGGUUCGAGGUGAUCAAAGAUUGCGUGCAAUUGCACGUGAGGGGUGUUACGAGUUCUCUGUAAAACAGAAUUCGGUAAGUGUUCAGUGUGAUGUUCAUGUGCAUAAUGUGUAUGAAUGAUGUGCAUAAGAUCAUGAGCAUGUUAUAUUUGAUUUUUCUAUAUUGGUAUUUCAAUGUAUGUGAUGAAAAUGCUGACGGUGGGUUUUGUGGUUGUGUAGGGUGCCACUACCGUGUUGGUAUAGCUCUAAAGUAUAUUGUUUCACCCUAGAUGUGUGCCCUAACAUUUGUAAUUUAAGGAAAUUAGUAAAAAUUGACACUUUAUUUUAGUUUGCUAAAGUUUCGUUUUAAUAUUCUUGUGGAAUCCGAGUUUGGAGAUUAUACGCUGUUACAGAUAUUAUAUGGUUAUAGUGACCCCGUGUGGUGAAUUUUGAGUAUUACUAUUUUUGAUGUUAGUAAAGUGAUACUGAAUGAUCACCUGUUAUUUGUUAAACUAUUCAUUUAAUACUGUUUAAGACCACAACAAACAAACAAAAAAACUCCAAACCACUAAUUGAGUUGAACACAAUAAAUCACUGAAAUAUGAACAUGA
Long non-coding RNA from Megalobrama amblycephala (Wuchang bream), 1080 nucleotides. RefSeq lists it as uncharacterized. The record is from RefSeq and is a predicted model, not a curated record. The transcript is spliced from 2 exons. Lineage: Eukaryota; Metazoa; Chordata; Actinopteri; Cypriniformes; Xenocyprididae.